Molecule: ribosomal RNA, 318 nt
Filed under: uncultured bacterium
Lineage: Bacteria
Description: bacterial SSU rRNA
Rfam family: Bacterial small subunit ribosomal RNA
Source: RNAcentral
AUUUAGAAAUGAAUGCUAAUACCUGAUAUUAUGAUUUUAAGGCAUCUUAGAAUUAUGAAAGCUAUAAGCACUGUGAGAGAGCUUUGCGUCCCAUUAGCUAGUUGGAGAGGUAACAGCUCACCAAGGCGAUGAUGGGUAGCCGGCCUGAGAGGGUGAACGGCCACGAGGGGACUGAGACACGGCCCUUACUCCUACGGGAGGCAGCAGUGGGGAAUAUUGGACAAUGGACCGAGAGUCUGAUCCAGCAAUUCUGUGUGCACGAUGAAGUUUUUCGGAAUGUAAAGUGCUUUCAGUUGGGAAGAAAGAAAUGACGGUACC